AACUUAGUGGCGGACGGGUGAGUAACGCGUGGGUAACCUGCCUUACACAGGGGGAUAGCAGUUGGAAACGACUGGUAAUACCGCAUACCUUACAUUAUUCGCAUGUUUGAUGUAAGAAAGAUUUUAUCGGUGUAAGAUGGACCCGCGUCUGAUUAGCUAGUUGGUGUGGUAACGGCAUACCAAGGCGACGAUCAGUAGCCGGCCUGAGAGGGUGAACGGCCACAUUGGGACUGAGAUACGGCCCAGACUCC
RNAcentral lists this ribosomal RNA (251 nucleotides) under uncultured Eubacteriales bacterium. Its description in RNAcentral is "uncultured Clostridiales bacterium partial 16S ribosomal RNA". It matches the Rfam family "Bacterial small subunit ribosomal RNA", at positions 89 to 339 of the family's 1533-position model. Lineage: Bacteria; Bacillati; Bacillota; Clostridia; Eubacteriales. The record is from RNAcentral.